CGAGCGAGUCAGAAAAAGAACAUCGCCCGAUCCCUAGUCGGCAUAGUUUACGGUUAAGACUACGACGGUAUCUGAUCGUCUUCGAUCCCCUAACUUUCGUUCACUGAUUAAUGAAAACAUCCUUGGCAAAUGCUUUCGCAGUAGUUAGUCUUCAAUAAAUCCAAGAAUUUCACCUCUGACAAUUGAAUACUGAUGCCCCCGACUGUCCCUAUUAAUCAUUACGGCGGUCCUAGAAACCAACAAAAUAGGACCGCACGUCCUAUUCUAUUAUUCCAUGCUAACGUAUUCGAGCAAAGGCCUGCUUUGAACACUCUAAUUUUUUCAAAGUAAAAGUCCUGGUUCCCCAACACACCCAGUGAAGGGCAUGAGGUUCUCCAGAAGGAAAGGCCCGGCCGGACAAGUACACGCGGUGAGGCGGACCUGCCAGCCAGGCCCAAGUUUCAACUACGAGCUUUUUAACUGCAACAACUUUAAUAUACGCUAUUGGAGCUGGAAUUACCGCGGCUGCUGGCACCAGACUUGCCCUCCAAUUGUUCCUCGUUAAGAGGUUUAAAUUGUACUCAUUCCAAUUACAAGACCCAAAAGAGCCCUGUAUCAGUAUUUAUUGUCACUACCUCCCCGUGUCGGGAUUGGGUAAUUUGCGCGCCUGCUGCCUUCCUUGGAUGUGGUAGCCGUUUCUCAGGCU
This 685-nucleotide ribosomal RNA is filed under the name fungal sp. CFK1. Its description in RNAcentral is "partial 18S rRNA". RNAcentral also lists the same sequence under 1 other name. The record is from RNAcentral. Lineage: Eukaryota; Fungi.